UACGAAGGGGGCGAGCGUUGUUCGGAAUUACUGGGCGUAAAGGGCGCGCAGGCGGCCCUUGAAGUCAGGCGUGAAAGCCCCGGGCUCAACCUGGGAGGUGCGCUUGAUACUCGAGGGCUUGAGACCGGGAGAGGUGAGUGGAAUUCCCAGUGUAGCGGUGAAAUGCGUAGAUAUUGGGAGGAACACCAGUGGCGAAGGCGGCUCACUGGACCGGUACUGACGCUGAGGCGCGAAAGCGUGGGGAGCAAACGGG
Molecule: ribosomal RNA, 253 nt
Filed under: uncultured bacterium
Lineage: Bacteria
Description: partial 16S ribosomal RNA
Rfam family: Bacterial small subunit ribosomal RNA
Source: RNAcentral